UUGAGGUGACUGAGUGGCGGACGGGUGAGUAACGCGUGGGUAACCUACCCUAUACAGGGGGAUAACAGUUGGAAACGACUGCUAAUACCGCAUAAGCGCACAGGACCGCAUGGUCUAGUGUGAAAAACUCCGGUGGUAUAGGAUGGACCCGCGUCUGAUUAGCUAGUUGGUGAGGUAACGGCUCACCAAGGCGACGAUCAGUAGCCGACCUGAGAGGGUGACCGGCCACAUUGGGACUGAGACACGGCCCAAACUCCUACGGGAGGCAGCAGUGGGAAUAUUGCACAAUGGGCGAAAGCCUGAUGCAGCGACGCCGCGUGAACGAAGAAGUAUUUCGGUAUGUAAAGUUCUAUCAGCAGGGAAGAAAAAUGACGGUACCUGACUAAGAAGCUCCGGCUAAAUACGUGCCAGCCGCGGC
This 418-nucleotide ribosomal RNA is filed under the name uncultured bacterium. RNAcentral's name for it is "bacterial SSU rRNA". It matches the Rfam family "Bacterial small subunit ribosomal RNA", at positions 82 to 518 of the family's 1533-position model. The record is from RNAcentral.